RNAcentral lists this ribosomal RNA (429 nucleotides) under Chloroflexota bacterium. Its description in RNAcentral is "Chloroflexi bacterium partial 16S ribosomal RNA". It matches the Rfam family "Bacterial small subunit ribosomal RNA", at positions 355 to 776 of the family's 1533-position model. Lineage: Bacteria; Bacillati; Chloroflexota. The record is from RNAcentral.
UGGGGAAUAUUGCACAAUGGGCGCAAGCCUGAUGCAGCCAUGCCGCGUGUGUGAAGAAGGCCUUCGGGUUGUAAAGCACUUUCAGCGGGGAGGAAGGCGAUAAGGUUAAUAACCUUGUCGAUUGACGUUACCCGCAGAAGAAGCACCGGCUAACUCCGUGCCAGCAGCCGCGGUAAUACGGAGGGUGCAAGCGUUAAUCGGAAUUACUGGGCGUAAAGCGCACGCAGGCGGUCUGUCAAGUCGGAUGUGAAAUCCCCGGGCUUAACCUGGGAACUGCAUUCGAAACUGGCAGGCUAGAGUCUUGUAGAGGGGGGUAGAAUUGCAGGUGUAGCGGUGAAAUGCGUAGAGAUCUGGAGGAAUACCGGUGGCGAAGGCGGCCCCCUGGACAAAGACUGACGCUCAGGUGCGAAAGCGUGGGGAGCAAACAGG